GUUACAUAAUCCGUCUGGAUGUUUCUCCUGCAGCCUGGGAGGUUCUCAAAGCUUUACUCAGUCAUCUUUGUGUCUCCAGGGACCUUCUUUGUCCUGGAGAGGCCCCUCUGAACGUUUCGGGCGCUCUUCCCUGACCGAAGGACUGUGCCGGGUUCAAAUUCCGACGCUGCCGGCUGGUGGAUUACUUGCUGGUCAUCAGGGGGAAAACAAUGACAGCGGAAAAAUCUCACCCCUCCCACCUUAACGUAGAUGAAUCUUAUCACCACUAAACGUUGACCUACCCGAUAUAUUAUGUGUCUCCAGCAUCAUCUGUGAGUAUUGUUUCCAAAAAUCUUUAACUUCAA
This is an RNA transcript of Miniopterus natalensis, 344 nucleotides long. It is a transcript of the gene named ER membrane protein complex subunit 5 pseudogene, with no coding region annotated. NCBI's taxonomy places the organism in Eukaryota, Metazoa, Chordata, Mammalia, Chiroptera, Miniopteridae. The record is from RefSeq and is a predicted model, not a curated record.